Molecule: long non-coding RNA, 1671 nt
Organism: Thalassophryne amazonica
Lineage: Eukaryota; Metazoa; Chordata; Actinopteri; Batrachoidiformes; Batrachoididae
Exons: 2
Source: RefSeq, a predicted model, not a curated record
UGACUAAGUUUUUAACAUGGAACCUUUCAAAACGCUGAUCCUGAAAGCCACCUGGAGUGGCCAGAAAGUCUAUUCUGUCACAGAGUGAGCAUCCAGCUUUGGGCAUACACGGACCUGACAGUUCUUGAUCAUUUUAUGCUGUUUAAAAUCAGUGUUCUGCUUUACAUAUAUCAGGUUAGCUGGUUAGUCGAUUGAUCCUGCUUUUUGAAUUUACCCCUCAGGUGAGUUGACGGUAGGAGAGAUUUUAAAUACUCCUUCCAAGUCCUAAUUGACAACUCUCAAUCCAGAGAUACCAACAGUGUACACAACUCUGCCACCAACACUCCAGUCACCAGCUCGGUGGCCAUCACCUCGGCUGUCAACCGCACCGCCAAUGCCAGCAACCCGGUCACCAUCGCUGCUCAGAUGAACAUCGCCACCAGCACAGUCAACAUCACCUCGCCAGUCAACCUGCAGCACCCGGUCACCAUCACUGGCCCCGUCAACCUGGCUUCAGUCAACAUCCCCACCACGGCUCACAUGAAUAUUGCCCACCCAGUCGCCAUCACCACCCCCAUGCCGAUGAAUAUUACAGGCCCGCUCAACAUCGCCAUGAGGCCCAUGGAGAGCAUGCCUUUUCUGUCCCAAGUCUUGCCUUCCUCCCCUCCUUGGUAGAGUUUCUACUCCACAUGUAGCAGUUGAUCAUGUUUUUACUGCCUGCAAAAAGGAGGGACUUGUCAAAUGUCAAGUUCCAUCAAAAUGAGCUGAUAGUCUAGUCAACCUUUUUUCCUUUUUUUUCCUUCUUCAGCAAAUGUAAUACAAGCACAUUUCAAUAGAGCGCACACCUCUGCCAGUAGAGGACUAAACUGGUGACACCAUUGUUAUCUCUUCUAAUGACAGAGGAGCAACGUUAUCUGUAGGAUUUAUGGAUGCUUCAAGGUUUGUUAUGGACAAAAGGAAAACCUCUGACAGAUAUAAAGCAAUAAGACGAUAUGAAACAGGGCCAGGUCACCAACAAAACGGAAUCAGUUCUUCCCUGACCAAACAGGCCUUUUUGAGGUUUGUUGUCUGCAGAUGGAUAUGGGAGUGGGGUUAAUGUCUUCAGGUUGCCAGUGUGUUGGAAGGCCAACAGUCUAGUCCUUAAUUGGUCUCAAGUGCAUUCAUUUGGACUCCGAAAACAAAGCCUGCAGAUGGCAAGAACAUGCCCACUCCACGCAGAAUAUGUCAGGGAGAAGAAGGCAACAGCGCUAACCUGUAAGUUGCCAUAUUUCACAGUUACCGUCUCAAUCGCCAAAAAUGGCAGUACACAUUGCAUAAUGCUUUCUUCUGUGUCUAUAGUGGGUUGGUUUUGUGCAUUUUGAAGGUUUGUAGAAAAGUAGUUUUAUGCCAAAGAUUUUAGUGGAAAAUGAGGGAAACCCUUUACGUCAGCAGACCAUCAUAGGAAAAAACCUACAUUCUCCUAAAGAUAGUGAAAUAGUAAAAAGCUCCUCGUUGCCACUACAGCAGCACCAUAUGGCUCUGGUCGUGUCAGGUGCCAAAUAAGCCUGGAUACUGAUGAUUUAUGUGCUGGUAGAACACUAAUUAUAGGCACUUUGCUAUUACAGGGAGUACAUCUUGAAUCUAGACUUUCCCAGCUUCCAGGAACCAGUUCCAGCUGCGAGCUCAGGUUCUGCUUAUGCUGUAAAAGCACUA